RNAcentral lists this transfer RNA (72 nucleotides) under Camelus bactrianus (Bactrian camel). It matches the Rfam family "tRNA". From Rfam's summary of the family: Transfer RNA (tRNA) molecules are approximately 80 nucleotides in length. Their secondary structure includes four short double-helical elements and three loops (D, anti-codon, and T loops). RNAcentral also lists the same sequence under 2 other names. Lineage: Eukaryota; Metazoa; Chordata; Mammalia; Artiodactyla; Camelidae. The record is from Rfam by way of RNAcentral.
GAGGGUGUAGCUCAGUGGUAGAGUGCAUGCUUAAUAUGCACGGGGUCCUGAGUUCGAUCCCCAGCACCUCUG